UACGGAAGGCAGCAGGGGGGAAUAUUGCACAAUGGGCGAAAGCCUGAUGCAGCUAUGCCGCGUGUAUGAAGAAGGCCUUAGGGUUGUAAAGUACUUUCAUCGGGGAGGAAAAAACAAAACUAAUAAUUUUAUUUCUUGACGUUACCCGAAAAAGAAGCACCGGCUAACUCCGUGCCAGCAGCCGCGGUAAUACGGAGGGUGCUAGCGUUAAUCAGAAUUACUGGGCGUAAAGAGCACGUAGGUGGUUUUUUUAAAGUCAGAUGUGAAAUCCCUGGGCUUAACCUAGGAACUGCAUUUUGAAACUGAAAUACUAGAGUAUCGUAGAGGGAGGUAGAAUUCUAGGUGUAGCGGUGAAAUGCGUAGAUAUCUGGAGGAAUACCUGUGGCGAAAGCGGCCUACUAAACGAAUCUGACAUGAGGUGACGAAAGCGGGUGGGGAGACAAACGAGGUAUUAGACUACC
Molecule: ribosomal RNA, 461 nt
Filed under: uncultured bacterium
Lineage: Bacteria
Description: bacterial SSU rRNA
Rfam family: Bacterial small subunit ribosomal RNA
Source: RNAcentral